RNAcentral lists this long non-coding RNA (310 nucleotides) under Homo sapiens (human). RNAcentral's name for it is "non-protein coding lnc-HOXC4-4:4". Lineage: Eukaryota; Metazoa; Chordata; Mammalia; Primates; Hominidae. The record is from RNAcentral.
CUCUCUUCUCUCUCAUCGGACUAGGGGAACAGGCCUGCGUCUCCUCCCUCUGAACUGCCAACUACUAACCCCCACCAUACCCAUUGUCUCCACACCACCUCCCACGCCCCCUGAAGACUCAGACCCAAAACAGAUCUGUAAAGCAUGUGCGUGUGACCAUGGGAACCCGGGAGUCCUGUCUCCUCUUCAUCCACAGAAAUUUCCACAGAAGCCCCACGGAUUCCCAUUUCAGAGUCUUCGACAUGUUGCCAUAAAUUGUCUUCUGAGGAGGAAGCCAGAUCUCAAGUUCUAGCAGUGAAGCUUCAGAGAA